GACGAACGCUGGCGGCGUGCCUAAUACAUGCAAGUAGAACGCUGAAGGAGGAGCUUGCUUCUCUGGAUGAGUUGCGAACGGGUGAGUAACGCGUAGGUAACCUGCCUGGUAGCGGGGGAUAACUAUUGGAAACGAUAGCUAAUACCGCAUAAGAGUAGAUGUUGCAUGACAUUUGCUUAAAAGGUGCAAUUGCAUCACUACCAGAUGGACCUGCGUUGUAUUAGCUAGUUGGUGGGGUAACGGCUUACCAAGGCGACGAUACAUAGCCGACCUGAGAGGGUGAUCGGCCACACUGGGACUGAGACACGGCCCAGACUCCUACGGGAGGCAGCAGUAGGGAAUCUUCGGCAAUGGACGGAAGUCUGACCGAGCAACGCCGCGUGAGUGAAGAAGGUUUUCGGAUCGUAAAGCUCUGUUGUAAGAGAAGAACGAGUGUGAGAGUGGAAAGUUCACACUGUGACGGUAUCUUACCAGAAAGAGACGGCUAACUACGUG
This 495-nucleotide ribosomal RNA is filed under the name uncultured bacterium. Its description in RNAcentral is "partial 16S ribosomal RNA". It matches the Rfam family "Bacterial small subunit ribosomal RNA", at positions 28 to 507 of the family's 1533-position model. The record is from RNAcentral.